GGAGUUCAAAUGGCACGCGAGUCAUUGGGUUUUAGUACCCGAAGGCGAAGUGAAAUGCAAACGUAUUGUUAUUUGUGGUUGUUCCAUGAUGAAGCGAUAAGCUACUCAUGCUGUCUGGCAUUUGUAGACUACAAGCGUGAUGUUUGAGACCCGAAAGAUGGUGACCUAUGCCUAGUCAAGAUGAAGCCAGAGGAAACUCUGGUGGAUGUCUGAAGUUAUUCUGACGUGCAAAUCGAUAAUCUGAUCUGGGUAUAGGGGCGAAAGACUAAUCGAACCAUCUAGUAGCUGGUUCCUUCCGAAGUUUCCCUCAGGAUAGCAAGCGUACAUUUUUAGUUUCAUCCCGUAAAGCGAAUGAUUAGAGGCCUUGGGGCGUAUAUAGCCUCAACCUAUUCUCAAACUUUUAAUGGGUGUGAGUGUUUUUUCUCAAUUGAAAAACGCUGCUAAAUAAGUAUGCUUAGUGGGCCAUUUUUGGUAAGCAGAACUGGCGCUGUGGGUUGAACCAAUUGUUGAGUUAAAGUGCCUAAAGCUGGAAUGCGCAUGAGAUCUAUAAAGGGUGUUAGUUGCUGAA
This 568-nucleotide ribosomal RNA is filed under the name Ophionyssus natricis. RNAcentral's name for it is "partial large subunit ribosomal RNA". It matches the Rfam family "Eukaryotic large subunit ribosomal RNA", at positions 670 to 1235 of the family's 3401-position model. The record is from RNAcentral. Lineage: Eukaryota; Metazoa; Arthropoda; Arachnida; Mesostigmata; Macronyssidae.